Molecule: ribosomal RNA, 1398 nt
Filed under: Hysterobrevium smilacis
Lineage: Eukaryota; Fungi; Ascomycota; Dothideomycetes; Hysteriales; Hysteriaceae
Description: eukaryotic LSU rRNA
Rfam family: Eukaryotic large subunit ribosomal RNA
Source: RNAcentral
UUUUACCCGCUGGACUUAAGCAUAUCAAUAAGCGGAGGAAAAGAAACCAACAGGGAUUGCCCUAGUAACGGCGAGUGAAGCGGCAACAGCUCAAAUUUGAAAUCUGGCCUUUCAGGUCCGAGUUGUAAUUUGUAGAGGAUGCUUCGGCGUUGGACCCGACCUAAGUUCCUUGGAACAGGACGUCACAGAGGGUGAGAAUCCCGUACGUGGCCGGUGUCCCUCGCCAUGUGAAGCUCCUUCGACGAGUCGAGUUGUUUGGGAAUGCAGCUCUAAAUGGGAGGUAAAUUUCUUCUAAAGCUAAAUACUGGCCAGAGACCGAUAGCGCACAAGUAGAGUGAUCGAAAGAUGAAAAGCACUUUGGAAAGAGAGUUAAAAAGUACGUGAAAUUGUUGAAAGGGAAGCGCUUGCAACCAGACCUGCCCGCGGUCGCUCAUCCAGGCUUCUGCCUGGUGCACUCUUCCGCGGUCAGGCCAGCAUCGGUUUGGGCGGUCGGACAAAGGCGGCGGGAAUGUGGCUCCCCUCGGGGAGUGUUAUAGCCCGUCGUGCAAUGCGGCCAGUCCGGACCGAGGUCCGCGCUUCGGCUAGGAUGCUGGCGUAAUGGUUGUAAGCGGCCCGUCUUGAAACACGGACCAAGGAGUCUAACAUCUGUGCGAGUGUUUGGGUGUCAAGCCCGGACGCGUAAUGAAAGUGAACGGAGGCGGGAACCUUCGGGUGCACCGUCGACCGAUCCUGAUGUCUUCGGAUGGAUUUGAGUAAGAGCAUAGCUGUUGGGACCCGAAAGAUGGUGAACUAUGCCUGAAUAGGGUGAAGCCAGAGGAAACUCUGGUGGAGGCUCGCAGCGGUUCUGACGUGCAAAUCGAUCGUCAAAUUUGGGCAUAGGGGCGAAAGACUAAUCGAACUAUCUAGUAGCUGGUUCCUGCCGAAGUUUCCCUCAGGAUAGCAGUAACGUUUUCAGUUUUAUGAGGUAAAGCGAAUGAUUAGAGGCCUGGGGGUUGAAACAACCUUCACCUAUUCUCAAACUUUAAAUAUGUAAGAAGUCCUUGUUACUUAGUUGAACGUGGACAUUUGAAUGCACCGUUACUAGUGGGCCAUUUUUGGUAAGCAGAACUGGCGAUGCGGGAUGAACCGAACGCGGGGUUAAGGUGCCGGAAUGCACGCUCAUCAGACACCACAAAAGGUGUUAGUUCAUCUAGACAGCAGGACGGUGGCCAUGGAAGUCGGAAUCCGCUAAGGAGUGUGUAACAACUCACCUGCCGAAUGAACUAGCCCUGAAAAUGGAUGGCGCUCAAGCGUGCUACCCAUACCCCGCCGCCGGGGCAAAAGUUACGCCCCGGCGAGUAGGCAGGCGUGGAGGCCCGUGACGAAGCCUUGGGGGUGACCCCGGGUAGAACGGCCUCU